This is a small nuclear RNA of Ochotona princeps (American pika), 82 nucleotides long. Its record names the gene U4. It matches the Rfam family "U4 spliceosomal RNA". From Rfam's summary of the family: U4 small nuclear RNA (U4 snRNA) is a component of the major U2-dependent spliceosome. The structure of U4 snRNA from yeast and human has been reported. NCBI's taxonomy places the organism in Eukaryota, Metazoa, Chordata, Mammalia, Lagomorpha, Ochotonidae. The record is from Ensembl.
AGCUCUACGCAGUGGCAGUAUGUAGCCAAUGAGGUUUAUCCAAGGCGCGAUUAUUGCUAAUUGAAAACUUCCCCAAUACCCC